Molecule: long non-coding RNA, 921 nt
Organism: Hydra vulgaris (swiftwater hydra)
Lineage: Eukaryota; Metazoa; Cnidaria; Hydrozoa; Anthoathecata; Hydridae
Source: RefSeq, a predicted model, not a curated record
UCUAUUUCAAGAGCAAAUCUUUUAUUAUUUAAAAAAAAAAAUUCAUUCACGAUAACUUUAUCUUCGUUUAAAGGAUUAGUGACUUUGAAGUUAGACGUAUUUUAAAAGCUGUACAAUUUUAUUUUUCUGUGUUCCAAUUGUUUUGAAAAAGAAAAAGCCGUUUUUAGUUUACAUAUGCUUUGUGUUGAAAAUAUGUUUAUUGAAGAUAUGUGAAAUGACAUGUGCUGUAAUGGGAUGCCGUCCGACGAAGCCAAAAAAUUCUGUUGCUGAUGAAAAUGUUGACCGUCUCACCAAUGGUACUGCCCAAUUUUUCAUCAAAUGAUUUAUCAAUAUUAGGUAACCAUAUAAAUGAUAGUAACUGCAAUCAGGUUACGAAUGGCACUAAGCAUCAAAAUUAUAACAAGGUCAACAAAAGAUCCGCACUUGCUGUUCCUUCAAAUAAAGAACUUUCUUGUACUCAGUCACAGCUAGACUUUUUUGAGAUGCUCGAUAAAAAAAUUGAUUUGGGUCGCGAUUAUAACUCGAAAGAAGAUUUAUCUAGAAUAAAAAGGUGACUUAAUGAUCAAGCCAUUUUUAUUGUUUUAAAAUUUUAAAAUUUCAUUCUGUUGUAAUAUUUUAUAUAUUUCUAUAAGACGUAAAUAUUUUUUCAGAAAAAUUCAACGAAUUUUUAAUGUUCAUUUUUUCGUCCUUUUUUUUUUUUUUUUUCUUCUGUUGAAGCAAAAUUUAUGUAAUUAUUUAAAAACUACUGCUGUUGCAGUAUUUAUGAAGCUCAAUCUUAUAGCAUUGCAAUAAAAAUGUUUAUUAAUAUAUUUUAUUAUAUAUUGUUAAUUUAAUCUUCUUUUUUUAAAUAUUGUCUUGUUUAAUAUUGUUCUUCAUGUUUCGGUACUAUUUUUUUUAAAGAAUAAAAUUAUAAAACUUUAA